This 522-nucleotide ribosomal RNA is filed under the name uncultured soil bacterium. Its description in RNAcentral is "bacterial SSU rRNA". It matches the Rfam family "Bacterial small subunit ribosomal RNA", at positions 8 to 526 of the family's 1533-position model. The record is from RNAcentral.
AGAGUUUGAUCCUGGCUCAGAUUGAACGCUGGCGGAAUGCUUUACACAUGCAAGUCGAGCGGCAGCGCGGGGCAACCUGGCGGCGAGCGGCGAACGGGUGAGUAAUGCAUCGGAACAUGUCCAUGUCGUGGGGGAUAGCCCGGCGAAAGCCGGAUUAAUACCGCAUACGCCCGAGAGGGGAAAGCCGGGGACCGCAAGGCCUGGCGCGAUUGGGUUGGCCGAUGUCCGAUUAGCUAGUUGGCGGGGUAAGAGCCCACCAAGGCGAUGAUCGGUAGCUGGUCUGAGAGGAUGAUCAGCCACACUGGGACUGAGACACGGCCCAGACUCCUACGGGAGGCAGCAGUGGGGAAUUUUGGACAAUGGGGGCAACCCUGAUCCAGCCAUUCCGCGUGAGUGAAGAAGGCCUUCGGGUUGUAAAGCUCUUUUGUCCGGAACGAAACGGUUGGCGUGAAUAUCGCCGACUACUGACGGUACCGGAAGAAUAAGCACCGGCUAACUCUGUGCCAGCAGCCGCGGUAAUAC